RNAcentral lists this small RNA (28 nucleotides) under Bombyx mori (domestic silkworm). RNAcentral's name for it is "ovarian small RNA-19597". Lineage: Eukaryota; Metazoa; Arthropoda; Insecta; Lepidoptera; Bombycidae. The record is from RNAcentral.
UAAUAGUUGGGGUCCAGCGUGCAUAAGC